Anastrepha ludens (Mexican fruit fly) is the source of this 11132-nucleotide RNA transcript. It is a transcript of the gene named serine/threonine-protein phosphatase 2A 56 kDa regulatory subunit epsilon isoform, with no coding region annotated. NCBI's taxonomy places the organism in Eukaryota, Metazoa, Arthropoda, Insecta, Diptera, Tephritidae. The record is from RefSeq and is a predicted model, not a curated record. The transcript has 11 exons.
UGAUUCAGAGUGAACGAAAGAAAAAUUUUUUACAAGCGAUCAAAGGCGCUGUCCGCGAUUUUGUGUAAAUUCCUACAAUUAAAAGUAACAAAGUUUAAUAGAAAAGUAUAAUAAUAGUGAAACUAGUUGCUUGAAUCAUUUUGCUAUAUGUAUUUUAUGAAAAUUGGGGGAUUUGCCCGAGAAAAUCGCAUGUGAAAGGCGAGUGUAAGCAGCCUAAAAAUUGUGCUAACGAGGAGAAAAAUGCGAACAAAUUUUAACGGGAAGAAAAAGGUUUGUUCGGUCUUCUCCACGGCAUUGUUUUUGCUGUCGUUAGCGACGUCGGCAGCAGAGGUGGUGUCGCUUUCGAUUCUGUCGUGAGUGCAAAGAAUUUGUAAAAAUCAAAGAAAACGAAAUUAUAGAAUUAUAAAGCGAAAAACAAACUGAUGUAGAUAAUAAGUGACUAAAAAAUAUCUUUUGGGAAAAUAUAAAUCCGUACCACAGGUAAAAACAAUCAGCUAAUAUUAAAAAGUAAUAGCCGUCACCAUCAGCGCCGCUUAACAUAUUGCUCGGGCGUUUUGACAUUUGAUGACAUUUGCGCAGCAAAAGCGAACGGUUGGGUAUUGCUGAAAGUGUAGUUGUGGUUGAAGUAAAGCGAGCAACGAGGAAUCGGCGAAAAAGGAUAAAAUCAAUCGUUUUCUUUGGCAAACAGUGAACUGUGAUGAAAAAUAUUAUCGUAAUGGUUUCCAUCGCUCUGUUUAGCUAAAAAGGACAUCGAUUUUGUUCUCCGGUCCGCUAACAUACUAUACAAUGUCGACAAUAAAGUUGUGUUGACCUUGCAAAUUUCAAUACCACAGGACACACGGGCAGUUCAAUCCUGUUACUACUAAGUAAGCGUGUGUCCGAGCAAGAAACAAUUUGGCAGACAGACAAUUCCAAAAUACAGGCAUUGCACAUAAACUACACAGUAAAACACAUAACAUAAAAUAUUCAAAUAACCAACACAAUAAAUUAGUAUAAAGCUUCAAUAGAACUGCAUUCAAUGUGCCAUUUCAUCUGGAGAUAAGGUUCACACUAUUCCCAACAUUUAAUAUAUGUAUAUUUAACGUAGACGCUUAAGUAAAGUAUUAGAUACCAAAAAGAAAAGGAUACGCAACAGAAGAAUUCCCUCCACUAAGCAAAGCAGCGUCAAAUAACAAAAUUAUAACAAGCGCAGUUGUCUAAAUAAUUGUAUUCGCACCACUAUUAAGAUAAUCUCUGUCUUAUUUAAUAUACUUAUCCAUAACUAAAGCUUACAGUUUGUGCACUACACUAUUCAAAAUUGGUUGAAAACUACUCUCCAGAACUCGAAUUUAUAAGAUUUGAGAGCGAUAGAAAAUUAAAACUCAACGAAUUAUAGUUCAAAGAAAAGAGUUAAUGGUGAUUACUGAAUAACUUGAUGCUUACACUUAGUGAAAGGAACAUAAUUCAUCUUAAACAAGCGGGAUUCACAAUAAAGAAGAAAGUUAUUUGAUAUCAAUAUAUAUGUGUAAAAUUAUAUUUAUCUAAGACGGGCCAUCAAAUCGGCUUGGAACUAACUUUUAUUGAGAGGCAGUUAAAUUGAGCAUCCUGCAAAUCGCUCUGAAGUACAUGUACAUGGAGUAAUUGGAUGCACUGAUAAUCACGUCUCCAUAGAAAGCGUCAAUAUCUACAAAAUAGCCAGUGGUGGCAUCAUUCAGAAAAUUCUACUAGCCUUGUUUGAUUCAGUUUUGCCAGAUAUAAAUAUUUGUAGAGCAGAUUCGUAAGAGGACAUAAGAAGUAGAGCUAAAAAUAUAUACAAAGCCGGAAAAUGUCAUCGGGAACAUUUGUUGAUCGAAUUGAUCCAUUUGCCAAACGCUCAUUGAAGAAAAAGAGUAAAAAAAGUCAGGGUUCCUCGCGUUAUAGAAAUUCUCAGGAUGUGGAGCUUCAACAGCUGCCGCCGUUAAAAGCCGAUUGCUCCAGUUUGGAACAAGAAGAAUUAUUCAUUCGCAAGUUACGUCAGUGCUGUGUAUCUUUUGACUUUAUGGAUCCCGUAACGGAUCUAAAAGGUAAAGAAAUUAAGAGAGCUGCUCUAAAUGACCUCUCCAAUUAUAUAACACACGGUAGAGGUGUGCUCACGGAACCUGUGUAUCCAGAAAUUAUACGUAUGAUAUCAUGUAACUUGUUCCGCACACUGCCUCCCAGUGAAAACCCAGAUUUCGAUCCUGAAGAAGAUGAUCCAACAUUAGAAGCUUCAUGGCCACAUUUGCAAUUAGUCUAUGAAGUAUUUCUGCGUUUUUUGGAAUCGCAAGACUUUCAAGCGACUAUAGGCAAACGAGUAAUUGACCAGAAAUUUGUUUUGCAGCUUUUGGAGCUCUUCGAUUCUGAGGAUCCACGUGAACGCGAUUUUCUCAAAACCGUUCUACAUCGCAUCUAUGGAAAAUUCUUAGGAUUACGCGCUUUUAUACGAAAACAAAUUAACAAUAUUUUCUUGCGUUUUAUUUACGAAACAGAGCAUUUUAAUGGUGUCGGCGAAUUACUGGAAAUAUUGGGCAGUAUAAUUAAUGGUUUUGCCUUGCCUCUGAAGGCCGAGCAUAAACAGUUUCUUGUGAAGGUGCUAUUACCUCUGCACAAAGUGAAAUGCCUCGGGUUAUAUCACGCUCAACUGGCAUAUUGCAUCGUACAGUUUCUUGAAAAAGACCCAUACCUUACUGAGCCGGUAGUGCGUGGAUUAUUGAAGUUUUGGCCAAAAACCUGUUCUCAAAAAGAGGUUAUGUUUUUGGGAGAAAUCGAGGAGAUAUUGGAUGUUAUUGAUCCUCCUCAAUUUGUAAAAAUACAGGAGCCAUUAUUUCGUCAGAUCGCCAAAUGUGUGUCAAGUCCGCAUUUUCAAGUUGCCGAGCGUGCGCUUUUCCUUUGGAAUAAUGAAUAUGCAAUGUCGUUGAUAGAGGAGAAUAACGCAGUUAUUAUGCCGAUAAUGUUUCCGGCGCUGUAUAGAAUUAGUAAAGAACAUUGGAAUCAGACUAUCGUUGCCUUGGUUUACAACGUGCUAAAGACAUUCAUGGAAAUGAACUCGAAACUUUUCGAUGAACUAACCGCCAGCUAUAAAGCUGAGCGACAGAAAGAGAAGAAGCGCGAACGAGAUCGCGAAGAGUUAUGGAAGAAAUUACAUGAACUUGAAAUAUAUCGUGCAAGAAGCGGCAGUGCCGUGGGCACAUCUAAUUCGGUGCUAGGAGCUGGUGGAAGUGGCGGCAGUGCCGCUGGCUCGCAACAAAAUAUCAACUCCUAUCAGCAACAACAAUCGAAUGCAAGCAUGGUAAACAGCGGAAAUAGCGGUGGCUCUGGUGACAACAAUCCUGCCUUACUUAGCGGCGGUGCACAAAGCGGGGGUACCUCAGUGAAUGCCGGCGGUACGAAUGCGUUUGCCAAAGUAAAAGCGGAAAAGGCAGAAAACUAAACUAUGAGGCGAACAAUGAAUGGGAACAAACUUAAUAAUAACUUAGUGUGAAGUUCAAGCCGUGAAAGAAAUAUUUGGUGUUGUAAGUCAAAAAAGAUAAACGGAGCUUGCAUUUGUGCGCCUACGACCCAGUGUAAGCCGCAAUGGAAAUGAAAAUAUUAUUAAGUAAACUUGGAGUCCCUAUCGAAAAUAGACAAAAACAAAAACUACACCAACAUGAUCAAAACAAAAACGUUUCACCACCAUAAUAUCCGGCAUCAUUACCUUGAUAACGAUCGAACUAGAAGAAGCUAAAUAUUGAUAAAAUACAAAAUAAAAGUAAAUAAAAAAACAAACAAAAAAAAUAUAUAAAAUAGAUGUCGGAUUUAAGAGCAACGUAAUGUGGAUGAAAGGCAGAACACUUACAACUGGGAUCGUGGUAUUACAUAAACAAAAGAAAAUCCAGCAUAAACAUUCUCCAUACUUACAUACGGGGAGUGCUGCUGGAGUGACAGUCCUUGGGCGGAUAUAAAUCCGGGUCAUUUCGGUAACGUAGAACCGACUGCCAUGGAAACGCAUAUAGUACAUACCUUCUACUUGAAAUUUGAAUUUUCAAUUUUUUCCCCAUUUUUCUAUUAAGUAUAAGAAUGCAUGUACGCUCUUAAUAAUUGAAAAAUUUUCAAUAUAAUAAAUAAAAUGUCUGCGAAAAAAAUUGAAUUUCUUCAAAUUUAUUUAUUUUUGCUCGUACAUACUCGCAUCCUCUAACGUAUAAAAGUAUGCACCUGCCAUUAUCAAGGCAAAUGUAGCCAAACUAUUGAUAUUACUUAUAUUUAGAAAAAAAAAUUGGAAAUAAAAAUAUGGCUUCACAAAGAAAAUUAAUCACCACCGUUGGGCGAAAAUAAGGAAAAAACGGCUUAACGAAUUUAAAAUUAUGUGAAAGAAGUAAACAUUGAAAUUAUUAUUUAGCUUUAGUUUUUUAUAAUUUGUUGCUAAUAAUUGCCGCUUCUGCUAAAUCACGAAUCAAAUCAAAAUAAACGAACUUUGGCAAUAUAUGUACAUAAAAUAUACAUACAUGCCUCUUUAUUGUUAGAACUAUUUUAAAAGGAAAAAUUUGUUUGAUAUUUUGCAUUUUUUCUUUGCCAAACAAAACACUUGCUAGCAAUUUAAACCAGAAAAUUAUGCACUUAAUUUUAUAAGAUAUUGUAUUUAAUUUUCACAAAUAAAAUUCUAGUUUUAUUAUAUAUCUUUAUGAAUACACUAACUUUCUCAAUUGGUAUGAAUUUAAUUAUCCAAUUGAUUUUUAGACUUACAACUAGGAUACAAAAGUUCUUUUUGUUCGCAGUGCCUAUUUGGUCUGCUACAACCUACAACCAUUAUUUAUUUAGCUGCUUAGCCAUACACACAUGCACGCACGUGUCUGUAUGAGUGUGUAUACUUGUAAUGCUGCGAUUUUUUGCUCGCUUCUGCAUACGUCGUUGUUGAGCGGAGAAAAGUCAUUUAACGACAGUUUUACUGUUUACAUUACCGUUCGCCUCAAAUCGUUGGUUCAAGUUAUUGGAAACGCAUUAGUAAUUGAAUUGAAGUAAAAGCCCCAAUAGUAAUUGUAAAUAAAUAAGAUUAAUUACCCUUAAAGAACCAAACACACACACACAUAUAUAUAUAUAUGUACGUAACUACAUUUAUUUACACACAUAUUUCUCACUCACAACUUGGAUAAAGUAAAAAAUAAAAUAGAACAAAUAAAAUAUAAAACAGCAGCAGAACAGACAACAAUAAAAGCAAGUGUAGCAUAAAUUUACAUAUAUACAUACACACAAUAAAAGUUUAGAGUUUUAGUGCAAAACAAAAAAAAAAAAACUAAACAGAAAGAAAGUGUGAAUCACUUACGGAAAUGUGAAAUAAAUGUAAUAGUAAAAGAAGAAAAUUAAAAAAAUUAAAACUAACUUAAAAAGAGGUUCGAUUUUGUGACUAUAGACGAUUUUAAUAGCGAAGAAAUGGGAAAUUACAAUCUCAUUGAUUCAUAUAAUGGUAAUUCAAUUUACUAUUUAAUAAUAAUACUAUUUAGGGAUUUAAUAAUUUUCUUUUUCAAGUUUUCUGAGUUCAACGUUCCAUGAACGCAAAUUUGUUUAGAAAAUAUCACAUGUGAGUACCAACAAUUGUUAUACGUACAUACAUACAAAUAGCUCUAGCUCCCCUCAAAAUUUGACCGCCUUAACCCGUGUAAAUUAUUAUUAUUUAAUUUUUUUUAUUUUUGUAUAACGAGAUCAUUGUCGACCCUGUCCGGUACACACCCUUUAUUUGUGUAAAACGUUGAAAUAAUUAUAAAUCCCUUAUUUGCUGGCAUAAAAUAAUCGCAGACAGUUUUCCAUAUAGUCGAAAAGAAGCAAAACUCUCCCCUUAGUGUUAAAAAAUAAUAGUAAUAAUAGCUUAGAGAACAGCUGAACGCAAAUUUUUGUAAGCAAAAAUAAUAAUGUAACUUUAAGGCAUUUAAAAAGAGGAAAAUAAAUAGUAUAUGUUUGUUGGGUGAAAAACAAAAAUUGCAAAAAUAAGUAAAAUAAAAUAAAAUUACACGUAGACAUUUGCAAAAAUGUUAUAAAAAAAUACCAAACCAACUAUGUAGUGAAUGCAUGAAACAUGUGAAAAAGUUGGGGAAAUGCGGAAAUGAUGGAAUGAUUGAAAUCCAAUACAAAUACAUAUGUAUGUAGUUAUCAGAAAUGAAGUUAUAAAUAAGAAUAAAACGCUUAAUCAUUCGAUAUAAAUACUAAAUAAAUGAAGGAAAAGAAAACACACACACACACUCACACGUAUACAUAGGUAAUCCCUACAGUACACUCUCCCAUGUAACGAAUAUAGAAAUGUCAAAACAAAAACAAACAAAAAAAUCGGAGAGUUAAUUGUAAAAGGUAUAUGAGCGAAAUAGUUAUAACAACUAAGUAAAUAUAUACAAUACAGAUAUAUAUAUGUAUAUACUAUAUACUUAUAUAUAAAUGAAAAUAUAAAUAAAAACGUAUACAUAUGAAAUAAUUAAAAAAAAAAUAAAAGAUUUAGUAUGUGAACCGAAAACUUAAAAAAUACCGUAAAUCACACAAAGCAAAACUAUAAUAAAGCAUAACGUACAUUCAUACAUACAUACAUGCAUACAUAUAUACAUAUAUAUUAUAUAUAAAGUGAAACUAUUGAUUUCUGCAUUAAAUCUUUUGUUUAUUAUAUCUUUUGUUGUUGUACAUCUACACAUACCUACUACUAAAAUUUAUUAUAAAGUUAGAAAUAUAUACAAAUAUAUGUAUGUAGUAUACAAUUAUGGUAAACAUGCUAUGUAUAACAAACAACUGUGUGAGAUAUUUAAGUUGGUCCAAAAGUGAUCGAUCGAUAUAAGAUUAUACGAGUACUUGUUCGAUAAGAAGGCAGAUGAAAUUUAGUGUCAAAAUCAAUUUUUGACCUAUUAUUAUAUGUAAAAAAUUCUUCAUUUAUGGCUUUGAAGUUUCCAGUUUUUAUCGAUAAUAUUGGCCUAAUAAAACUCCAAAAAGUACUGGUUAUUUUUCAACAGUUGGUUUUUAUAUUCAGCAACAUAAAGUAAACAAAAAUGAUCCAUCGUUCGCAUUGCCGAAUUUGUUUACGAACAAGCAGGACUGUCACUUACGCCAGUACCAUUUAAGAAAAAAAAAGAAUUUUUACUUAUAUUUUCUUCCUAUACGAAACUAUUUCCAAGGGGAGAAAUAAACUAGGCGCGUUAGGCAGAACCGGCUGGGACUUCAGUAGCAUUCCCAUGGGAGUCGGUUCUAUGUUACCGGAAUGGCUCGGGUUUUCCCCGACCAAGGGCUCGACCGCCUCAGUAAAUUAGCUCUGCCUAGUGUACCGUACCCUGGAAUUCAGCUGCUUGCUUUUACUAUUUCGUUUGUGAAGCUUUUUAACACAUUACAUUAAACGCGUUCAUUAGGGAUACAGUACAUAUUCCAAAAAAAAAAAAUGUAUAGUUUUUGUUUUUAAGUGCUGGUGGUUCCAAAAAAAGAGGCCAUCAAUCAAGUACAGUCGCUGUCUGUCGACAACAAUGCUCGACAAAAUUGUUCUGCAAUGGCGAAUAUUUUUCAUAUAGAGUGGGACCCUGAUAUAAACAAACAAACUUUGUUUGGUGCUAUUAUUUAAAUGGUGGGAUAAAAAUCCACAAAUUGCUAGGGUAUUCCAAUUUUUUUUAUUUUAUUUUAAAUUCAAAUUGUGCUUGUCUGUCCAUUAUUACGGCAAUGCACUCGCCUGUCCGUUAUUACAGCAGCUCCUUCUUAAACUUAUGAAUCUUCAAAAUGCCCGGUAGGCGCGUACGCCAUACCCGACUGUUGCUCCGCGGCUAACAAACACAUUUUAUGACAAAAAUUUUCAAACAUUCUAAGAACCUCUUCACACAGAAAUGCUCCAUAGCGCUCAGUAUAGGGACCACAUUUUAAGCUUGAAAAGGCGGCAAGCAAAACUAUCGGCUUAACGAAAUACUCGUUUAUACCCUUCUAAUUUGUUUUAUCGAGGUUACACUGUAGUGCAUAACUUUAAGUUAUUUUAAAGGAUUAUUGUUUGAUAUUUCCUCAAGGUUUAUUUAUAUCAUAGAAGAAGAGGAUAAAAAAAUAUAUUUGAUUUUGAAUAUUUGAUUUGCGUAGAGCAACUCGUCUAGUGAUCAGUGACAGAGCAAAAUGUAUAUUUUUAAACUAGAUAUUUUUUGAGAGUUUUCCAUUUUCCACAUUGAAACCAAGUCAAAGUUAUAUAUCGACAUUUUUACACUCCUUUCGUAUUGCAGUAUAUUUUUUGUUCGAAGCAAAUUCUGAGUGUUGGCCAAAGUUUUCUAAAUAAAAACAAGAGAAAGAAAAAUUAUUAAAAAUAAAAUAUAAUAUUGCCCAGAGUCCGUGCACAUUCUAGAUUAACAUGAAUUCUGUUUAUUUGAUUCAAGAGUGUCAUGAACCAAAAUGUCGAGGAAAACGGAAAUUGACGUUGUCUUCCUAAGAAAAAUGCAAGACAUAUUUCGAUUUAAUCCUUUGCGGUUGAUGUCGUUACAGAGGCGUCAAUCGUAAGUCGUCGUAAAAGUCUGAGCUGCCAGUCUGGCGACAGGAUGUCAUUAAGAGGAAAGGAAAAAUUUCCGGGACCAGUAGAGUUGAGAUCAGUAGAAAGCUAUGCUAUUAAACGCAAUAUGCAUAUACAGUGUACUCUCUCCUAACGGACAUCACUCUUAAGCGUACCAUUUUUUCAAUAAAUUAAUUUUAAAGUUACACUUUUCUCAUAAGCGGACCCCUCCCGUAAACGGACAAAUUUUUCAGUCCCUUAAGCGUCCGCUUAAGAGAGAAUACAUUGUAUUUGCUUUAAAUCAAUAAGAGACAAAUAACUCCCAAACGCUAAAUUUGCUCUCCGACCAGCUGGUACUCCCAUCAGAGAAAUCAGCAGAUCGCCAUGCAUUUUUUAAACAGCACAAAAUAAAAACUCGUCACGUUCCCACGGCAGUCGGUUCUACGUUACCAGAACGACCGGGAUAUAUUUAUAUACGGACAAGGACUGUCACUCUGGUAGCAUUCCCCGCAUAUUUAUGGGGAAUGUUUGUGGUCCCACAAUAACAACAAGGACGAACUUGAUGUUCCUGUAUAUUUAUGUAAACAAUUUUUUUUUUAUUAUUUUUUUAUUUUAUUUUGCGCUUGCGACCAAUAAGCAUUCGUGCUAAGUUUUUGUUGCUGUAGCCGAAUGCAUUUGUGUGUGUCUACCAAUCGUUAGGGCCCGCGUUUAAAACUCACUAAUGGCAUGAAACACCAAAUGGUAGAAAAAGUGAUUUCUAAUUGCAAUCGUCCCUCGGCAGGCAAUUUUUUGCACAUGUACAAAGUGGCGCAAAAUUAAUGAUCCAAAUUUGUUUUUGAAUAAUUUUUUUACUAAAUAAAAAUAUAUAUUUUGAGUGAUUGAAAUCUUUAUUCUUCUGACCUUUAGGCGCUCCAUUGCUUGUCUGAUUGUAUACUGGAACUGUCGUUGAGGUUAAACAUUUUAUUGGCAGAUGCCCAAUAUUAUCACAAUUCCGUGUUGCAAAUUUCCAAAAAAAACUUUGGCACAUUAUAAUAUAGUUUACUCGCAUGUGUUGAAUAGAAAAAAAAUUGAGUCUUGAGAAAAACCUAGUUUCUUACAUAACUGGUGCUUUAAAGUACAGAGAAUUAAUUGGAAAUGAAUUUACAUACGUGAUACGCUAAAAAUACAGCGCAUAUUCCGGCAGGCGACUGUUAAGGGGUUAUAUACAGUUAGAAGACCGAAACAAAGCGAGUUUUCCGGAAUUUUUUCUAAAAAAUUUGUACACAUAUUAUGUUUUCUUUUAACUGUAUUUUAAGACUUAGUAUUAGUAAAAAUAUUCAUUUGGAAAGGAGCUAUAGCUGAUCUCCGGGAGCUCCUCUCAAAACAGACGUUUUGCGAUGACCACUAUAUGUGACAACAGAUGUCAUUAAAGUAAUGUUAAAUUUAGUAAUUAAUCGAAGGAAUAAACAAAAUAAAUUGUUUUGACAAAAUGGCGGUUUCUCAAAAAAAAAAAAAAAGAAAUCGAUUUUUGACCAAAAUUUCGGUCUUAAAAUGUUAAAAAAAAUAUUUAUCGGUGAAAAAAAAUCCCCGAUUAAUUACUAAAAAAUAUAUUUAAGAAGCUCGUGUUAAAAUUUGGAGACUAAUCGGUUUAGCCGUUUUUGAGUAAUGUUGGUCAUCGACUUUGAAAACACUAUUUUGAGAAAAACGCGCUGGCGUUCCGGCCUUGUACUUUCAAGCAGUCUGAAACGCCUUUUCAAAAUUGCGUGUAACUUCGAAAAUAUUCACCGGAACGAUAUUAAAUUUUCUGUGUGUGUUCUCAAAUAUAUGUACACUAAGAAAAGAAAAAUAGAUUGUUUUUUAAUUCUAACUGUAUAUAACCCCUUAAGGCCAUUGCCGUUUAUUCUUUAUUUAUUUGUUUAAAAAUUAUAUUUUUUAGUCUGUAAGCAAAUAUUGCGAGCUUUAAAUAUAAAUACAGAAGUAUUCUAUUGUAUUUUGUUCUACUGCGGCUGUAUAGUUCACAUCGGCGCCAUUUGCAAAAAUUACAAACCUUUCGAUAAGGUGAUUAAUUCUGUGCCACCUUGUAUUGUAUUGUUCUACGACGGGCACAUUUCCUACACUGGAAACUUGUUUUAUAGUGCAAUCUUUUGAAAAAUCUCAUAAAAUUCAGUGUUUAGUCUAAAAUUAAAGAAACAUUUUUUAUUUUAUAUCGAGCCUUCGGUGAAUGCUAUAAAUUUAUAAAAUUUUUUAUUUUAUUUAUUUUUUACUUUGAAAAUUAUGAUAAUAAAAUUAUUAGUAAACUCAAGCACACGCAGCGCUAGCAGCAGAGGCUUUCGACUGGCUGGUUGUUGUUGUUGUAGCACAUUCCCCGUGCAUAUACGAGGAAUGCUGCUGAAGUGACAGUCCUUGGCCGGAUAUAAAUCUGGGUCGUUCCGGUUACAUAGAACCGACAGCCGUGGGAAAGUUCUACUGGCUGGUGAUGUGAGUUGAAUCAGAUACGACGGAGUAAGUCGGUGUCCUUUAGAAAUGUGUAAAUUUUUUUAUGUUAUCUUCAGUGACAUUUUUAAAAUUUGAAGAGGAUCUUAUUACAGCGCAUUAAAUAGGAAAUACUAGAAUCGCCACAAAUAGGAGGAGGAGCUCGGCCAAACACCCAAAGAGGGUGUACGCACCAAUUAUAUAUAUAUAUAUAGAAACGAUGUUGACUCGUAUCCGC